Long non-coding RNA from Alligator mississippiensis (American alligator), 595 nucleotides. RefSeq lists it as uncharacterized. The record is from RefSeq and is a predicted model, not a curated record. Lineage: Eukaryota; Metazoa; Chordata; Crocodylia; Alligatoridae. The transcript is spliced from 2 exons.
AAUCAUGCGGGUGUAGGCGGAGCCUGAUCCUGGGUUCCCGCUGCACUGGCAAGCAGCAGGCACCCACGAUGGGAGCCCUGGAGGAUCUCAGACGCUGGGACCACAGGCGCAGCCAGGACAGAGACCCCGCAGCAGAUGGCGCUCGGGGCCCAGGCUAUGCAUCGUGCCUGGAUUUUAGGCUGCCUGAAAGAAGCUGAGGGUCCAGCACGCCUGCGCGCUGCACCGCUCUCCACAGCACCCUACGGAAGGGUCUGUGUCUCUGAACAUGGCAGCCUACCUGAUAAGUCAGACGGUUUCUGGAGAGUGAUUUAAAGGCACCAGUACCUGCCGUGCAGCGUGAAAUGAACAAAUGGAUCUGUUUGUAGAGACGUGACUGUGUUAUAAAUCAGUAGUGUCUUUCAACACAGAUGACAGAGAUAAGAGAAAAAAUGAGCUCCUCUCGGUCUUCUGUACUGAAGAAAUAUUCACACAAUAGACAUUACAGGAAGUCAAGAACAGUUAAGACUUCUGCUGUGGCUCUUGAGAGAGAAAAUAUAAACUAUGCACGCAUCUUUUUUUGGUUUUCUGAUAAUAAAGUUUCACAGCUAAAAUUGUA